UAAAGUUUGGAUGUGUGUUUAUCCAACAGCCGCAGGUGGGAUUGACAAUCCGAUGAUCAAUCCAUUUGUAGAGAACGCCCCGAGCUUAUCCGGGCUGGCGUGUUCAAGGCUGCUGGUUUGUUCAGCAGGGAAGGAUGCAUUUACGCCUAGAGGGAUUCUUUACGUUGAGACUCUGAAGAAAAGUGGGUGGAAAGGUGAAGUACAACUGGUGGUGGUUGAUGGAGAAGAUCAUGAAUUUCAUGUAAAUAAUCCUCAUACUAAGCAAGCAAAGGAUUUGAUCAAGAAAUUGGCAGAUUUUAUUUCCAAGUGAGAUUUUUUUCAGCUUUUGGAAUAAGUAUACAUAUUUCAGCUUGUGGUGUAGUUUCUAUUGAACGUGUUGUGGCCAAGUUCACAAUAAUAUUUACUUAUGCAAGAUUACUUUUUUAUGUGUAUUUUCAUUUAUAAGUAAAUAAGUAUUUGUUAGGGUAAAUUUAAAACGUUACUAAAUAAUUUAGUUCAAAAUCGGUAAUUAAUUUUAAUUUCGAAGUUCAUACAACCCACAAAUUUUAUCAAUCUUUUUACCAUAUGUUCAAUCAACGUUUAUCAAAAUUUAUUUUAACUCUAAUCAAAAGCUUUCUGAAACAACCCCUCUUUUUUUUUCUUUAAUUAAUUUGAGCACACAAAAAAGGAACACUUAUAAUAAUAUGUAAGUUUUAUUCUACCUUAUCAACAAUAACUUGAAAAAAAUUUAAUAUAUUAAAUUGGACAUUAUAAAAAUAAAUGAUAGGUACCACAUCUCUCUCAUGCACUCCCCUGGACAAAUAAACAUGAUUUUAGAAUGUGGGGACUACCUACUAUUAUUAGCCGACCCACUAAUAAGAUUAUUCCUAAAUUUCCACUAUCUUGACGACUUUGGCCUAUUAUAAAAUUGUAUUAUGCUAAACGUACCUAAUUUUUUCACCUAAUUUUUUACCUACUACUCACAAUAAGAGAUGGAGAUCACGAUUCGACAUUAUUUAAUACACACAGGGUCCACGUAAUAUGUGAGAGGGGGGACACGAUUCGGGAGUCCCCCCUGUACAUACAUUUUUUUCCUAUAAAAUUACUCCAUAGAUCUACCAUAGGCUAUGAAAAAGCUAUUUUCUCCAUUCAAAGAAAAGAAGAGUAUAUUAUUCUCGAUAAAGUAUCAAUCUAAUCAAUAUUCAAAAGAAUAUUGUUUCAUUUUCACGUAUUAAUAUUUAAAAAGAAUAUUGUAUUAUUAUUCUCAAAAAAAUAAAAUAUUUAUACAUAUCAUAGCCUAGACGAAUAUCAUGUUAAUUUUCUUAGUGAAGCAUGAAUCUUUUUAAACAAUGUUCUAGAUGAAUAUUAUAUUAAUACUCUUGAAGAAGUAUAAAUCUUAUGCAUUUUAUUGUUUAAAAGAAUAAUUUAUUGAUUCUUCUUAAAUAACAUGACUUAUACAAAAUAAUACUUCAGAAGAAUAUUGUAUUAGUCCCAAAAAUAACUUUGAACAGAUCAGUAUUUUUUUAAAAUUAAAAUAUUUUAGCAUGAUAUUCGUGAAGAAUAUGGUUACGUUCAUGAAGAAACACAAGGUAAGUAUACAACAAAAAAAUUAUAUUUACAUCUUCAUGUUGCUCCUUUAUUCUUUUUUUUUUCUUUUUUUUUUUUUAAUGCAAUAAUAACAAUCCAUUUUUCUUAGUAACUUCUGCAAUUAAAGUAAAAACUGUGUUCCACAAUUAGAUGUUUAAUCUAUGAAAUAAUACUUAAAGGCCCGUUUGAUUUUGGCAAAUCACGUCAUCUCACCUAACUAAUAAAGGGUAGCAUAAAAUCCUCAUCUCUUUGAGGUUGUCUUGUAAUUCUUCACCACCGUGUUUUCUAAACUAAAUCGAAACUAUCAUAUAUUUGAGACAAAUCAUAAGUCCUCGCCUAUUUGUGCAAACUUAUAUUUAUGAGGCCAACCAUAGAACUUUAUCUAUCUGAAAUUGGCUCGCGAUCCCACACCAUUAUAUUUCAGAGGUCAUUCAUAUGUCCUCAUCUACUUGGACCCCAGCCUAAAAUAUAAAACGCCGAUUUUGUAAUUGCGAAGGCCAUUCGUAAGCUCUCACCUAUUGAGGUUGGCUUUAGUUAGAUGCUACUUGUGAGUCAUUAUGUCUCAGAGGUUAUUCGCCGCAUUCGCUCAUUAGAAUUUGGCUCAUAUUUCAAAAGGCAAUUCAUAUUCUAGCCUAGUUGAGAAUAUCUUAUAUUUUGAAAGUUUGUCACUAGUCUUAUAAUGCCCGAGGUAAUAUGGCAAACUUCUUGCUUCUACAUUUCUUUCAAGUCCAUUGAUGUAUAAAUGUAUAACUCAUAGUUGGUAGACUAUUGUUACACCUAUAUUUUACGUGGUGCACAUGCGGCAAGAUGGUGCCCCACAUUAUUUAGCUCGAUUUUGACUAUCCAUUUUUAGUAGACAUUGGUGGCGUCAAGUUAAUUGUGCUAGUUAUAUCACGUCAAUUAAAAACGUUAGGCAAUCUUGUUGUAGACUUAAGGCCUAGAUCAGAUUUUACAAUAGAUCAGGAUAAAAUAUUAUUAAUAGCCAAUCAUACGAAAACUGGUUGAACUACAGGUACUUACUGAACCACUCGGCUUUACGCUCUCCCCCGAAUUGUGCAAACCUGAACGCAGCGAGGGGAAGGGGGCCAAGGCCUCCUUGACCUACGUGCCUCAUAUCCUUCUAUUUAAGUCAUUGGUUGAGGUAACCCCUAGCCAAAUCCUUUUUCACUUAUCUCCCAUGCUUUUAUAUAAUUCCGGCGACUGACUUGAUUAUUGGAGUAAAACAAAUACUAGACCUUUUUUGGAACAAUAACCUUUGCCACUACUAGGAUUUUAUUGUGCAGGCAACUUAUUGGUGGAAUGUAAGGUGGGCGAAAGAUGCUGAAAGCUCGACCCUUCUCGAUUUUAAAGUUAACUCUAUAUGAAACUCACAAUAUAUAAUUACAAGCGAUAGAUCCAUCCCUUAUUAAGCCAUGUUUGAGUCCCAUAUUUUGUAAAAAACAAAUAUUUUGGAUUAGUGACUUUUUGGAUAAUGUAUGCUUAAAAAAUAAGUAAAAGUUUUAGAUUUACAUAUAAAAUUAUUUUAUGAGAGAAUGUGUGAUUGAAAAUAAACUUAAAAAAUGAAUUUUUUUUUUUUUUUUUUUUAAAAGAAAAAGUUGUAGAGCCCAAACAGAAGCUUGGUUGGCUUAGAAAAUGUCAAUCAAGUUGAAAUUUGAUUACCUAAAAGACAAACCAGCUAAUAUUUUAUCUAACGCAAAAACUCACCGAUUAUAAAAGUUUAAAAAAUAAAUAAACUUAGUGAGACAUGCACUAAACUUUGUUUUCAAACCUUCAAUUAAAUUGUGAAUAUUACUAGGGAUAACUUUGAGAAUGGCUGGAGAAUUCUUUCUUUUUUCCACAAUAGCCUUUUCUAUUAAAAGUACUAUUUUACCCUUAAUGAAAUUAUUUACAAGAUUUAUCUUAUAUCUUUAAAGAUUUAUCAAUCAAGCCCUAUAUCUAUAUUUUUUAAUCUUUUGAACACCCUUAAAUAUUCUCUAUAUCUUGUUAGUUCUUCAAAGAUUAUAGGUUGUCCUUUUUUAGUUAUAUAUCCUCGAACUAAACCUUCUGAAAUUUCUUCUUAUAUAUUUCUAUGUUUAGUUAUAAUAUCUUCUACUUUUCUUAUUUCUUUAUAAGUUAUCACAGAAUCAAAUCCUAUAUUAUUUUUACAACUAUAAUCUAUAUCUCUAUAUAUUUCUUCAAUUUUUUCUUUACCAACAGGGAAUAUAUCAUCCGAUUUUUCAUCUAAUUUAAAUAAAAACGAAACAUCUUUUUCAUCUAAAAAUAAAAUAAGAUUAUUAUCAUCAUUAGUAGUGGAAGUGGAUGCUUAUGAAUUGUUCAUGAAAACAAUUAAAGCAUAAGCAUGUAAAAGUAGAUAAAUAACUUACAGUAAUCAAGUAGAAAUAAUCAGGCUUUCCCUCCAGUAUGCUUUUAUAGAUGCUUUGCAUGUACUUAAUCAAUCUUCUGAAUCAAAUAAAGUUUUUAGAAUGUUUUUGAAAUCAUUUGGGUCCACAACUGCUUCCGCAAAAGGCUUUUUAAUUAAGGUUGUAUUUCUCACUCUAGAGAACUAGCCGUGUUUCCACAGACGCUAUCUCACAGUAUCCAGAGUCUCUGUUUUCACCUCUAUCCAAACUCUUUUCAGAAUAAAAUUCUUACUUGGAACGAAAUUUUAAAAGAUAACUCACACACAAGGUGCUACAAGUUUUUGUUAGAAAACUGCCUUUUUCCCCUAAACCAUUCUUUAAAUAUGGGUACUUUAUCAUGGCUAACAUCCAUUCAAAAUCAAAGUUUUGAAAAUCUUUUAAAAUUUCUAUCUGUACUGCCGAGGAAUCAUGAGAAAUUUAACGAAAUCCUUUUAUUUAAGCUUUGUUAAACAUAACAAACUUUACUUUGAUAUUCAUAAAUUGAAAUUGUACAUACUUACAAACUAUAUUUACAUAUCUUUGGUACUCACCUUAUGAAGUUUAGAACUUCAUAAGUGAUUACCUUAUUACACGCUUUCCUAUCUUCAGGCUAUCUAAUAUUUUUCUGAAUACAAGUAGUGUAGACAGAUUACAAAAGAUUUCUCUUCCUUUUGUUUAAGAGAUAAGCUGUUUCGAGAUGUCCUCCUCCUCCCUUCAUGCACCUUUUUAUAGGAGAUUUUGGAAUCUUAUCUUGGACAGGUGUUUUCCAUCUUUCUUUGUUGGGUAGCUAGGCCAUCUUAUCUCCACCGAAUUCUUCAUUGUCUUCUUGUUGGGUGGACCUCUUCUUUUGAAAUUAGAUACCUUAUCUUUUGAAUUUGUGUGCCACUUGUAACUAUUGGUGAGGAGUAGUUACAAUUAUAGAGAAUUUUCUUAUAAUAUCUUCUGUCUUCUAGUAGCCACGGUUUUUCUUUAAUAAAUUUCUUUAUUAAAGUAGUGAUAAAUGGCUACUUUAGUCACCAUCACUUUUCCAUUAUUGAAUUAAAGAAUUCUGCAGGGAAUUCUUCAUCAUUAAGGGAUGCUUGGCUCAUAUCUUCAACUACACAGUAUUCACAAUGGUGAUCACUGUAAUUCCAAAGUAAUUUGCAUAAUUCUUUAGCCAUAUCCUCUGAUCCAUGCACUUGGUUGGAUAUAAUUGCAGAUAAUAAAUGAUCAAGAUAACAAAUAUCUUCUUCUUUGGUAUCCAUCCUUGCAUUGGAAUAGAUAAUAUGAUUUUCAGAUGGAUAAACCCAUAUUUUUUCUUUCUCAGUAAUUAUCUGAGUUACAUGUUCAAAUAUCUCUUUAUACCCUUUUGCUCAUCUGUAGGGCAUCAUAUUUAGAAUAUCUUGAUAUCCAUUUUUAACAACCUUUUGAUUGGUUGGUAAAAAAUGUUGAUUUGUGAUUCUCAUUUUGAUCACAUGGAAAGAUGGAUGCAUAUAUUCAAGAAUAGGAUCUCACUCCAUAGUUGCUGAAUGAAAUCUGAUGUAUAUGUUUGUUGUUUUAACAACUUCAGUAUAUCUUUUAACAACUUUCCUGAUGUUGGCUGGAAGUUGAGCUCUCUUUGAGAUCUUUGCUAGGGUAUAUACAGAGUAUAUUUCCUAUCUCAAAGCAAUUUCGAACCCAAUUGGCUGGUGCUCCUGGAUAAGAAUUUAUCUUGUUGUACUUUGAAUAGUGGAGGGUCUUCAUCCACUUUCCAAUUUCCAAAUACCAGUCCGAAAGAAUAUUAAAAAUAACAAUAAAGAAUGUUACUUCUUCAUGGUUAUCUUUUCUGGGAAAUUUUGCUUCAUGGCAUAUUUUGACAAUAUCUUUUGGAUUUAUCCUUUCAAUAGAAAGUUUAGAUUGAGUUUGGCUCUGUGAAGAGCUACCUUCUCUUUUGAUAUCUUGAAUAUCUUCAUUACCAGUAAUAGGUUUGAAUAUUCCCUGUAAAGGGGUUCCUAUUACCUUCUUUUCUUUCCCUUUAUCCUCGGGGAGAGCGCUAGUAUUUACAAGUCCCUGCAAAGGGAUACUAGUCUUGGUACAAGUAACUUCUGCCUCAAGAGCUAUAUUUUUGCCUCGAAGGCUAUCUUGGAUAUUUUGAAUUUGGGUUUCCAAAUAGGAAACUUUUAUCUCAAGUAUUUGGACUUUAGUCCUUAAUUGUUCCAGCUCCAUUCCUGCUAAGAUAAUCAGGAAGAAAGUUAGUUUUACCUCUUAUAUAUUCAAUAUCAAAUUUGAAAUAUGAAAACCAAAUUUGUAUCCUAAUAAUAUAUCUAUUGGUAAUAGAUGGAUCAACAUUAUUUUUCAAAAAUGCUUUAACUUGAGUAUUAUCAGUUCUAAUCAAAAACUUUUUUGGUAAUAGAUAAUCCUCAUAUUUCUGAACUCCUCUUUUCACAGCAAUAAGUUCUUUUCUAUUCAUCUCAUAUCUUGUUUCAACCUCUUUGAAUGUUCCUGAUGUAUAACCUGCAAGUAUCUCAGGACAAGAACAAUCUUCUCCACAUUUAUAUUCUUUAUGAUUCUUUUUCACCUUUAACACUGCACCCCAGUAAUGGUUUGAAACAUCAGUUUCAAGGAUAAAGAAGUCUUCUUCUUGUGGUAUUACAAGUUUGGGCAAUACCUUUAACUCUUCUUUAACUUUUCUUAUAUUUUUACAGUCUUGUUCUUCCCAAGACCACAUAGUAUUUUUUCUUAACUUUGGAAGAAAAUAAUUUUUUAAUUUGGCGCAAUUUUCAAUGAAUCCUUCAGCAUAAUUUAAUAUACCAAAGAACCUUUGUAAUUGUUUUUUAUCUUUGAUUUCUUCAGGAAAUUCUUGAAGUUUUUCUCCAAUGUGAGAUUGCAAUUGCAAUUUUCCUUCUUUUAUAAAUAAUCCUAAAAAUUCUAUCUCUGUUUUGGCUAUCUCAGCUUUCUUUUGAGAAAGUGUAAUACCAUGUUUUUUCAUAAUAUAACAAAAUUUCUCAAGAUGUUCAAUAUGUUCAUCAAUAUUAUUUGAAUGAAUAAGUAAAUCAUCUACAUAUGCAAUACAAAAUUGAGUAAUAGGUUUUAUUACCUCAUCCAUCCUUCUUUGGAAUAUCUGUGGUGCAUUUUCAACCCAAAUGGCAUUACAUUCCAUUCGUAUUGUCCUAAAAGAUUGGGGGUACUAAAUGCAAUUAGUGGUUUACUUUCUUCUGUAAGCAUGAUUUGCCAAAACCCUGACUUACGAUCAAAUUUUGAAAAUAUCUUUUUGUUUUGUACUUGUUUAAUAAGAGUGUUCUUAUUUGGCAAGUAGUAUCCAUCAAAUUUAGUAACUUCAUUUAAUUUCUUGUACUUUAUCACUAUUCUGACUUUUCCUCUUUUUAUCUAACUAUGUUUUCUAACCAUAAAGGCUGGGCUGCUAUGUGGGCUUUUACUAGGCCUAAUUAGUCUGGCUUCUAGUAAUUCUUUUAUCUAGUUUUUAAAUUCUUUUUGAUCAUCAACACUAUAUUUCAUAGGUUUGACUCUUACUAUAGUGUCUGGAUUGAUUAAUUCUAUUUUUGCCUUUACUUUGUCUGUAUCCCAUUUUUCUAAUGGAUUUUCAGAAUAUGUUUCAGAAAUUUCUUUUUUCAAUUUUUCCAACCUAUUUUCUAUUGUCAUUUUUAAGACUGUAACUGGUUUAAAUUUUUCUGUACUCCAGCAUCCACCACGCUGGGUUGAGCAACUCUGAUGGUCUAUAUCUCUAUAUGCAAUUAUAACAGCUUUAUUUAUUUUUGGUGUAAAUAUUUUAUGUGCACAAGGUGUUGUGAACAUAUACUUAUCAAUAUAUUGUGUAAAUGGUUCAUAUUUUAAUAGGAAAUUUUGUCCUAAUAAAAUAUCACAUCCUAUUGUGGUUGACAUGUAUAUUGUAUCAACAAAUAUUUCUCUAACGGAAAUUAGAAAAGGUACUUGAGUAGCAUACUUGUUAUAUAUUACCUUAUUUCCACCUGCUGUUAUAGCAGUGACUAUCUUCUUUGAAUUGUAUUUCCAGUAUUCAGAUGGUAAUACAUUUGGUAAGCAUAAAUUUAUUGUACUUCCUGUAUCUAAGUAAGCAUAGAAUUUAAUCCUACAAUAACUUUUUAUAUUGAGUGUAAUUUCAAUAUAUGGACUCAUGGGAUUAGUACUUAUUACUCUUUCCAUGAUAACAAUGAUUUCAUAUUUUCAUAUAUUCUUGAAAUGAUAAUUGAAUUAUCGUCAACUGUUAUUUUCAAAUAUCCUUGAUAGAUUUUAUAUGGACUAUAUUUCUCAAGAAAGUUCAUUCCUAGUAGAAUAGGUGAACGAUCUACUCCAUAUAACUCAUCUUUGUAUAAAAUUAUUUUUUUAAUAUAUUCUUUCUGAUCCUCUCCUACAAGUAUAAGAGGGAAUUUAACAUAUUUUCUUAUUUCAAGAUUAUUUCCCAAAUAAUCCUUAAAUAUAUAUGGUUCUGAUAUUUCAAAGUCUAUUAAAUGAUUAACAAACUUGGCAUUUACAUGGCUUUUAUCUGCUCCAGUAUCUAUGAGGACAAGAAGAUUCUUCUUAAAUCCUUCUUGGUUUACAUAUCUUGUCUUGAUGUAAUAUUGUGAACUUAAUGGUUCAGCAAUACUUAAAUUCUUAAGUCUGCCUAUCCUAGAAUCUUGUCUAGAGAGAAAUCUUGCAAUAAGAUUAUCUCCUUCUAAGCGACACUAUUUCUUCUUAUUAAUUUUCCUUCAGAAUUAAUUUCUUUUGCUUGUUUAUGAAAAUCAAGCAUUAUUUGUUCUGGUAUCGUUACUUCAUGUUCUUGGUAUUUUCUAGGAGGUAUAUAUUGUGCUAAUUCCUCAAAAUCUUUAUGUAUGAUAAUAUUAUCAGUUAUCUUUCUUAGAUUAUUAUGAUGGCUAGUACUAAAAGCAAAAAUUGAUUUUAUGCUUAUACUAAUAGCCUUACUUCUUCGUAACAUUUUCAGAUUUCUAAUUCUAUAGUAUAAAUUGAAACUUUGGUCAAUAUUUUCAUCAUUUAAAGAUAUUGCAUAAUUUGGUUUCACUGUAAAUAUUAUCUUCUGAUAAACUAAGUUUCCUACAACUGUUCCUAAUAGAGUAUCUAUAGGAUCUUGUAAGAUUCUAUUAUCCAUACAAUAGAUUUCUAUUGGUAUAUUCAUACCUUCUCUAAAGAAUCCUUUUACCAUUAUCUGGAUUCCUCCUAAUUCAAUACAUUUCAAUUUAUUUCUGACAUUUUCUGGGAUUUUGGAUAAUUUUUGUUUUACCCAUUCUUUUGUAAUUAUAGGAAUUCUUGCUUUUCCUAUAGUAUCUUCUAUAUUGAUAGACAUUUCUUUAUAAUUCAUACUUACAAUUGAUUUAUUUACUCUUGGUAAAAUUCCUAAGAAUCUUUGAUGGAAUACAUCUUUUUCUUGUAGAUCUAAUAUAUUUUUAGUGAUUCCUGCAUAUUUUUUAAUAUCAAAGGUAAUUUUCUGAUUAAUACCUUCUAUAGAAUCUUCAACUUCUUCAGUUGUUUCAAUUUCUAUUUUUGAUUGUUGUAUCUCCUGAUUCAUAUAUACUAUCUCAUCAUAAUCUUCUUCUGAUGAGGGUGUAUCUAAUUCAUAAAUGCUACUGCAUUCACUACUUAAAUUUUCAAAAUAUUCAAUUGAUUCUAUGUCACUAUCUUCUUGAAAUUUUUUAUAAAUCCUAAGAGUUUUUAUAUUUUGUCUAUCUUUCUUUUUAAGACAUUGAGGGGCAAUGUGUCCUUCUUCAUUACAAAUAAAAUAUCUACAUUUCUUAAUGUUUCUUGGUUUAGAUUUCUUAUUCCAACUUCUUUUCUUGAAAUAUUUUUUAUGUGGUUUAAAAUUCCUUUUAUUGAAUUUUUUAUAAUUUUUGAAUUUUCUUUUGUAUUUCUUAUAUGGUUUGUAUUUCUUCUUAUGGCAUCCAAAUUGUUCAAUUUGGCCAUUAUCUUUGUAACAACAUAAUGAAUUCUUUCUUAUUUUGUAAGCCUUUUUAUUUUCUAGUGCUUCUCUGCACCACAUACUUGCCUUUUUAUUUUCUAGUGCUUCUCUGCACCACAUACCUAUCAUUAUUCUUGUAAAUUCAAUUCUACUUCCAAGACUAUCUAUUUUAACACAUUCCUCUUCUCCUAGAGGUAGUAAUUUCUCAUAUUCUUUUAAUAGCUUACUUCCCCAUGGGAAUGGUAACUUUGUAAAAUAAGAUCUUAAUAUAGGUUUAUUCUCCUGAUAAUCUCCUUGAUUAAAUAUAUAGUAUAAUUAUUCAAAUUUACAAGUAUAUCUUUCUAAUUCACACAUAUUACAUAUUUUUAGAUUUUCCAAUGCUAUCAUUCCUUGAUUAUAUUCAUCCUGUUUUUUUUCUUCUUCAUUAGAGGCAUACCUAUCUCCUAAGAAUUCUGUUGUUAAGAUUCUUUCAAAUCUUUUUAAUAUUUCCUGUAUAUUUUGUUCAUUUAGAGUAUUUCUAUUAUCUAAUACCUCAGUUCUAUUUGCUCCAUAUUUUAUCCUUCCUUUAAUAAUUUCGGGUAACUUUCUCCACCAUUCAGAAACAAUUCCUCUGAAUGUAUGUUCUAUAAAUCCAAAAGCUGUAUAUGUUUCCCAUUUAUUAAAUUGUAUUGCUAAAUCUGUACUUUUCAUUCAUGUUUCAAUAGCUUUAUUUUUAUCUACACAAUCCAAAUCUAACCAUACUCCUGUUGUGUGGAUUGGUUUAUUAUAGGAUUUCAUUGGAUUUAUUUCUUUAUGGAUUGUUUUCUUAUAUUUCCAGUAUAUCUUUUCUGUGUUUUUCUAUAUUGAUUAAUAUCAGCCUUAUCAGGUAUUGGGGUACCAUAAGGAAAAUCUUGCUCUUCAUCACUACUAAAUUCUACUUUUAUAUUCUGACUCGAAGAUGGAUUAGUAUUCAUCUUUAUAGUUUCCAUUUUUUCUGUUAAUUCUUCUAACUGUUUUUUAUAUUUUUCAUACUCUUCUCCUGUAAAUUCUAAAAAUUUUUGUUCUAUUUCUUCUACGUUUGUUAUCAUAUAUUGUUUUUCUUCAUGUUUUUCAACUUUUUUCAGAAAUUCUUCAAUUAUCUUUUCUUCAUCUACUGUAUUCAUCAUUAUUUUUGGUUCGAAACAUGGCUCUGAUACCAUUUCACCAGAGUGUGCAGCGGAGCGGUUAAUAUUUUUGAGCCAAUUAAAAUCUUCAUAAGUAUCUAAAAUGUCACAAAAAAAUUUAUAAAAUUCACUAUUUUUUAUUAAUACUUUUUCUUUAAUAAUUUUAUUUAAUUUUUUAAUUCUUCUUCUCAGAUUAAAAAUUAAUUUAUAUAUAUCAUUUUCUGUUUUGAUUAUAUUAUUGUCUAUAGAAACAUUUUUAUUUUUUAAUUUUGGAUCUAAAUAUUCUACAAAGAAUCCUUUCAGUUCUUCUUCUAAAUAAUUUAAUUCACUUUCUGUUGCAUUUCUAAGGUCAAUAAAAUUUUCUAUAAUAUUUGGGUUUAAAUUGAUUAAAAAAUUUUGGUCUAUAUUUUCUUGAGGAUCUAUUUGAAGGUUUUUAUACAUUGUAGUGACUUUGGUCGCAAUUUCUCUAUAAAGGGUAUUUUUGGAAAUAUGGUUAUUUGAAGACUAUUUUUCAAAUGUUUUCAUUUCUUAGUCUAUUUUCAAAAACCUUCCUUCUAUUUAGGCUGUUUGGAUGUAUUUCCCAUAUUACUAUUAAAAUUUGGGAUUAUAUCUUAAAAGGUCAGUUUUAUUAAGAAGAGUGGUCUAAACUCUUAUAAAUUGGCCUAUAUUCUUCUUUUUAUGCGAUGUGAGAUUUUAUCCAUUAAAAUGCCCCCAUAAGAUUUUGGCUCAUUUGAGCUAAUUAAUCUUGAAAUUUAAAUGCUUAUUUUUUGAAUCUAAAUCGAAUGGAAAUGUUCGUUAGAAUUUAAUGAGUUUUGAUACCAUUAUUAAGAGGAGUAAUCCAAAUUCUUAUAAGUUAGUCUAUGUUUUAAUCUUUAUUUAAUAUGAAAUUUUAUCUCUUAACAAUUACUUAUUCAAACUCCAUUAAUAGUGUAGUAAUGAAACAUUCAUGCUACAUGUACAUCACUUUAUAACAUUGUGCCACGUGACAGCACACUAUUGAAAGUUUAAAAACGUAAACAAUUUUUUCGCUAAUCAAUUCAUCCCAACUUGAACGAUGUCAAAAGUGAUGUCCAUUUUUCAUAUACAAAUGGCUUAACACUAAUGAAAACCAUGGACCUUUUGAAAAAGUAACACUUUGGCCUUCCACUUCACUUGAACUAACAGUGAAAAAUUGUACCCUUUUUGUUUUUAAUCACUUGACUGGUAGAUGAACUAUUCUUGAUUAAAGUUGAAGAUUAAGCCAUUGUUUGAUGUCAUUAUUUUAAAAAUAUAUUUUUCUCUUUCUUCUUUUCAAUUACACAUUUUUCAAUUAAAUAAUAUUAUACGCAAAUUUAAAAUUUUUCUUUAUUCUUUAAUCACACAUUUUCCAUCAAUCAACUAUUUUAAAAUGUAUUUUUCAAUAUGAAAGAGGCUCAAGGUAUAAGUUAGAAUUUUUGGUAAAUUAUUAUAGCGAAAACUUGAUCAAACAGAAAAUUUGAAAUUCUAGGUUUUUUACUUGCAAGUUCUCAACUCUAUCCCAACUUUUCAAACUAAUUAUCAGUUCAUUCUACGUCUUCAGUGGCAGUGUUCAUCUGCCUUAUAAAUAUAUUGAACAAAGCUCAUCCUACAUAUUAGGUUUGUUCGUAAAUACCUUGGUGUGUGUGAGUCGACGCUUUGCUACGCUAUCUAUACUACACGAUUCUAUUUCGAACUCAAAUUGAUGUCAAGUUUUUCAUGUUUUUGUGAUGUUUUUUAGAUUUUUUGAAAAUUAGUUUCAUAAUAUUUGAAGGUUAAAUUACAAAUCAUCCAUAAAUUCCAAUUCUACUGGAAAAAUAGCUACCAAUCUUCGUAAUAUGAUGAGCAAAAUUUAGAAUGAAUUAAAACAAUACCUUUAUACACAAAGUGAAAAAAAAAUUAAAAAAAAAAUCAAAGAACUCGUUAUUUCUAUAUCUACUAUAUAAAAAGAAGAAUGUGAAGUUAUUGUAGAAAUCAAUAGUGAAUUCUUCCAUUUUAUCUUACUGUAACUUUUUUUUUCUUUUUUUUCGUAAGUAAUAACGACGUCAUUUCCUGUUCAACUAUUCCCCUGAAAUGCUACAGUGACAUUUUCCCCUUUUCUCAAUUGGCAUUUAUAUUUUUUAUAUCUUCUCCAUUUUUACACGUUACUGCCUUUUUGGUUCUUCAUUUCAUCACACAAAUCACCUGUAAUUUCUUUUUCUCUCUAAAGUUUAUUGGCUCUUUUCUUUUCCAUGGAUGAAUGAUUUAUUGAUCGUAAAAUCAAAAUUAUGUGGAAGAAGUAAAUAUAGAAUGAAGUCUUUUUAACUUACAAUUAUGUAAAAAUAAUAAUAAUAAUAAAUAAAAAAAAAAACCCACGCGCACUCCUGCUACCCAGAUUUUGGACAAAAAAAUCUCUUCUUUUUUUGUUAAAUAUAAAUCAUUUAAUGUUUCAAAUUUAUUUUGUUAAUAUAUAUAUAUAUAUAUAUAUAUAUAUAUAUAUAUAGUCUAGUUCACUCCGCGUACAGAGUGUAUUCCACUUCGUAUACGGAGUGGCAGGAUGGUAGAAUUUUUUUCUCCUUUCUCAACUCCAAUUUUUUGAGUUUUGGAGAAAUUUUGAGGUUGUCACUUUUUUAUGAAUUUUUUUAGUCAAAUUUAAUUAGAAAUGUGCCAAUCCAAUUGAUAAAGAAAAGAAAUUGAAUGAUUUAACAAAUAAAACAAAAAAAAAUUAUAGGUAAAAAUAAAAAGAAACAAAAAAAAGUUAUUAUAAGUUUUUAAAUUAAAUUUAAAUAAUUAAAAUUUAAAUUUAAAAAAUUGCAUUUUAUCGUAAAACAAAAAGAAUUAAAAAGAACUUUAAAUCGAACAAAAAAUUAUUUGUAAUAUGAAGAAAAAAGAAAUUUUAAAACAAUUUCAAAAAUAUAAUAAAAACAAAAUAAAAGAAAGUUACAAAAAUUAAAUAAAGAAUAUUUAUUUAAUUGAAAUUAGAAUUUUUAUCAUAAAAUGAAAAGAAUUAAAAAGAAUUUUUUUAAAUCGAAUUUUUAUUAUUACUAAUUUUUUUUUUUUUGCAAUAUAUUUGAACAAAACAAAAUUAGACCAAAAAAAAAAAAUAGCUCUCCAUCCCACUGUUUGACACAUUUUGAUGUGUGUGGAUUUUACACACACUAUGGAUGGAGAGAUUUCUCUCCGUGCACAAAUUUUUUUUUCCUUUAUUUUUUAUUUUUUAUUUGUUUUGUUUAAAUUAUAAAUAAUUUUUAAAAUUCUUUUUAAUUCUUUUGUCUUCAUGAUAAAACUUAAAUUUUCAAUUUUAACUAAAUAAUAUUUAUAUAUUCUUUAUUUAAUUUUUGUAACUUUCUUUUAUUUUGUUUUUAUUAUAUUUUUUUGAAAAUUAUUUUAAAAAUUCUUUUUUUCUUCGUAUUAUAAAUAAAUUUUUUCAAUUUAAAAUUCUUUUCGCUUUAUGAUAAAUCGUCAUUUUUUUAUUUUUAAUAAAUAAUGUUUAUUUUUAAUUUUAAUUAUUUCAAUUUAAUUAAAAAACUUCAUAGUAACUUUUUUCUGUUUCUUUUUAUUUUUUCCUUUAAUUUUUUUUUAAUUUGUUUAAUCAUUUAGUUUUUUUAUUCGUAUUGGUGUAAAAUGAUGGUUACGAAUUAAAUGAUUUAACAAAUUAGAGAAAAAAAAAAAAGAACAACAAACAAAAAUAGAAAAAAAUUACAGGAAAAAAUAAAAAGAAACAAAACAAAGUUAUUAUAAAGUUUUUAAAUUGAAUUGAAAUAAUUAGAAUUAAAAUUGAAAAAAUCAAAAUAAAAGAAAUUUAUGAAAAUUAAAUAAAUUUAUUUUUUCAUUUCAUUUUUUAUCCAUUUUUACUUGCAUUUACAGUAGAAAACAAUAUCAUUUCCCUAUGUUGAAUGGCGGGUUAAUUUCACAAACGAUCACUGAACUUACAAAAAAAUUACAAAACAGUCAUUGAAAUUUAAAACUUUCAGUAAUAGUCACUUAAAUAUUGGGACGCUUUCAAAAAUGCUUACUGAAGUUUAAAAAUUUUUGAGCUACUUUUGCGGCAAAUUUUCGACCACUUUCGACAACCGAUACCACCAGAUUUUGAUACCAUUGAAAAGCCUACAAUGUACUCUUCAAUUACAACAAAAAAUUUCCCCCAAACUCCAAAGGAUUCGGCCGGAAUAAACCCACAAAAUUGGCUACUCGAAAAGGGAAAAAUUUACCCAAAUUUUCAGAUUUUUGGUGGACUUUUGCGGCGAUGUUUUGACAACUUCCGACUACCAAAAUAGCCAAAUUUUGAUACCGUUGGAAAGCCCACAAUGUCCUCUUUAAUUAGGAUCCAAAAUCUCCCCAAAACUCCAAAGGAUUCGGUCGGAAUAAACUCACAAAGUUAGCAUCCUAGAUUUUCACCUUUUUGGGAUGCCGACUUUGCGGGUUUAUUCCGGUCGAAUCCUUUGGAGUUUGGGGGAGAUUUUGGAUGGUAAUUGAAGAGGACAUUGUGGGCUUUUCAACGGUAUCAAAAUCCUGUGGUCUUGGUGGUCGAAAGUCGCUGAAAAAUUGUCGUAAAAUUCGUCCAAAAAUCUGAAAAUCUGCGUAGAUUUUCAGAUUUUUUGGGGCAACUUUUGCGGUGAUUUUUCAGUCGAAUUCCUUGGUGUUACGGAGAAAUUUUGAGUGGUAAUUGAAGAGGACGUUGUGGGCUUUCUAACGGUAUCAAAAUUCGAUGGUAUCGGUGGUUGGAAGUAACCGAAAAAUUGCCACAAAUGUAACCAAAAAAACUAAAAAAAAAUAUUUUUCAACUUCAGUGACUAUUUCAGUAACUUUUUAAACUUCAGUGACCGUUUUUGAAAGCGUUCCAAUAUUUAAGUGACUGUUACUGAAAAUUUUAAACUUCAGUGACCGUUUUGUAAUUUUCUGUAAGUUCAGUGACCGUUUGUGAAAUUAACCCUUGAAUGGCAAAACAAUCCGUUUAUUCAAUUAAUAUGACAAAUGAUUGAAUAUAUCUUAUAUAUAAAUAUAGAAAAUAUUAAUUAUUUAAUUAAUAAUAAUUAAAUCUUGAUCAAUGUAUGUUAUAUUUACUUCUUACCUUAAUGUUUGAAAUGAAUUUUUUUUCCAAAAAUGAAAAAAUAAAAUAAAAUAAGAUAAUGAUUAAAAUUGAGAAAUAUCCUUCUCAACUCCACAUUUAGAAGGUAUUCCAUCAUGCAAAAAUUCAAAUGUUAGAACAUUGAACAAAAAAUAAUUCAAUAAAGUAUAAUAUCAAAAAAUUAAGUGAAGUUAAUUGUAACUAUUAUUUUAAAGUUUUUUAAUUGCAAUGAACCAAACGAUCGGAUUUUACCAAACACUUUGAAUCUUUAACAAGUUUUGAAAAAUCUACAAUUUUGACACUAAUAAAAACACACUAAAUACAAAACUCGUGCAACGCACGUGACAAUGACUAAUUAUUAAAUCAAUGAUGGAUAUAUUAUAGCUUGAAGCACAAAAGAAACUCUCAACUUAGCAUAUUCAAUUAAAAGUGUCACGUCGAAGUGAGCAACUUGAUCUUUAAAGACACAACAAUCAUACUAGGCAAGACUUGGCAAGACGCUAGUUAUGUGCUAAAACUAAGCUUGGUUAGUAGUGUCGGUCCGUUACCACUCUCCCUCUUGUUAAACCAUGAAUUCUUUGGAGUGAGCUGAAUGAUCAUGUAAGUAGAGAUCAUGGAAUAAGAAGCUCAUCGCCUUGCAAAAUCUUUUCUUAGUAUAAUUAUUUAUAUCACUAUUAAGAGUAUUUUUAUAUUUUAGGAUCAUAAAUAUUAUAUUUUUUUCUUUCUACUGUUACGUGUCAAUUUCUAUCACAAUUUUAAGACCAUUCCAUCCAUUGGUCAAAUUUUUCAAACAAAAAAAAAUAAAAAAAAAAUAAAAUUUAAAAAAAAAUAAUAAUAAUAAUAAUUCGUCUGUUGCGUUUUCAAGUUUAUACAUCUUCCAACCAAAAGCAAUCCUCUUAUCGUCUAAGCAACGCAAUGGAACCCCUAUAUAAUUGGGAGAAUUGUUUAAUCCAAAACCAUAUUCUCUUUUCUCAUCUACAACUUGUAACCAUAAAAUAAAGAAGACUGCCAUGGCUUCCAACCACACCAAAAAAGUGCUCCACGACCUCUCUCCUUAUCUCGUAGUGUACACAGAUGGAACCAUCGAGAGAUUCGUGAUCACAACUAGUGUCCCUCCGUCACCGGAGGACCCAACCACUGGCGUAGCCUCCAAAGACAUAAUAGUUGUUUCACCGGAUGUCAAAGCCAGACUAUUCCUGCCAAAGCUGACAGACACCGACCAAAAACUCCCCGUUUUAGUCUACUACCAUGGCGGUGGAUUUAUCGUCGAUUCCCCCUACUGUUUGCCCUACCACCGUUACAUGAAUUUUUUAGCCGCCGAAGCAAAAGCUCUAAUCAUUUCUGUUGAAUACAGGCUCGCCCCUGAACACCUUCUACCCAUAGCCUAUGAAGAUUCGUGGACUGCCCUUCAAUGGGUGGCAUCUCACGUUAUUGCAAACGCUAAUAUCGAAAAGGAUCCAUGGAUUAUUAAACAUGGCGAUUUUGGUCAUCUGUAUAUCGGUGGCGAUAGUGCAGGUGGCAAUAUAGCACAUAAUAUUGCUCUCCGAGCUGGGGUGGAACCAUUGAUCGGGGAUGUGAAAAUCAUGGGUACGUAUCUAUGUUAUCCGUAUUUCUGGGGAUCAAAACCAGUUGGACCGCAAUCAAAAGAAGAUUUGACUGGUUUUGCAUAUAAAGUUUGGAUGUGUGUUUAUCCAUCAGCCGCUGGUGGGAUUGACAAUCCGAUGAUCAAUCCAUUUGUAGAGAACGCCCCGAGCUUAUCCGGGCUGGCGUGUUCAAGGCUGCUGGUUUGUUUAGCAGGGAAGGAUGCAUUUACGCCUAGAGGGAUUCUCUACGUUGAGACUGUGAAGAAAAGUGGGUGGAAAGGUGAAGAACAACUGGUGGAGGUUGAUGGAGAAGAUCAUGAAUUUCAUGUAAAUAAUCCUUAUACUGAGCAAGCAAAGGAUUUGAUGAAGAAAUUGGCUGCUUUCAUUUCCAAGUGAGAUUUUUUUCAGCUUUUGUAAUAAGUAUGCAUAUUUCAGCUUGUGGUGUAGUUUAUAUUGAACGUGUUGUGGCCAAGUU
RNAcentral lists this long non-coding RNA (18069 nucleotides) under Olea europaea (common olive). Its description in RNAcentral is "long non-coding RNA (OEUR_LNC008843)". The record is from RNAcentral. Lineage: Eukaryota; Viridiplantae; Streptophyta; Magnoliopsida; Lamiales; Oleaceae.